RNAcentral lists this ribosomal RNA (253 nucleotides) under uncultured bacterium. Its description in RNAcentral is "partial 16S ribosomal RNA". It matches the Rfam family "Bacterial small subunit ribosomal RNA", at positions 524 to 776 of the family's 1533-position model. The record is from RNAcentral.
UACGGAGGGUGCAAGCGUUAUCCGGAUUUACUGGGUUUAAAGGGUGCGUAGGUGGGCAGGUAAGUCAGUGGUGAAAUCUCCGGGCUUAACUCGGAAACUGCCAUUGAUACUAUUUGUCUUGAAUAUCCUGGAGGUAAGCGGAAUAUGUCAUGUAGCGGUGAAAUGCUUAGAUAUGACAUAGAACACCCAUUGCGAAGGCAGCUUACUACGGGAUUAUUGACACUGAGGCACGAAAGCGUGGGGAUCAAACAGG